This 806-nucleotide ribosomal RNA is filed under the name Bacillus sp. (in: firmicutes). Its description in RNAcentral is "bacterial SSU rRNA". It matches the Rfam family "Bacterial small subunit ribosomal RNA", at positions 26 to 815 of the family's 1533-position model. Lineage: Bacteria; Bacillati; Bacillota; Bacilli; Caryophanales; Bacillaceae. The record is from RNAcentral.
AGGACGAACGCUGGCGGCGUGCCUAAUACAUGCAAGUCGAGCGGACAGAAGGGAGCUUGCUCCCGGAUGUUAGCGGCGGACGGGUGAGUAACACGUGGGUAACCUGCCUGUAAGACUGGGAUAACUCCGGGAAACCGGAGCUAAUACCGGAUAGUUCCUUGAACCGCAUGGUUCAAGGAUGAAAGACGGUUUCGGCUGUCACUUACAGAUGGACCCGCGGCGCAUUAGCUAGUUGGUGAGGUAACGGCUCACCAAGGCGACGAUGCGUAGCCGACCUGAGAGGGUGAUCGGCCACACUGGGACUGAGACACGGCCCAGACUCCUACGGGAGGCAGCAGUAGGGAAUCUUCCGCAAUGGACGAAAGUCUGACGGAGCAACGCCGCGUGAGUGAUGAAGGUUUUCGGAUCGUAAAGCUCUGUUGUUAGGGAAGAACAAGUGCAAGAGUAACUGCUUGCACCUUGACGGUACCUAACCAGAAAGCCACGGCUAACUACGUGCCAGCAGCCGCGGUAAUACGUAGGUGGCAAGCGUUGUCCGGAAUUAUUGGGCGUAAAGGGCUCGCAGGCGGUUUCUUAAGUCUGAUGUGAAAGCCCCCGGCUCAACCGGGGAGGGUCAUUGGAAACUGGGAAACUUGAGUGCAGAAGAGGAGAGUGGAAUUCCACGUGUAGCGGUGAAAUGCGUAGAGAUGUGGAGGAACACCAGUGGCGAAGGCGACUCUCUGGUCUGUAACUGACGCUGAGGAGCGAAAGCGUGGGGAGCGAACAGGAUUAGAUACCCUGGUAGUCCACGCCGUAAACGAUGAGUG